Drosophila gunungcola (fruit fly) is the source of this 987-nucleotide long non-coding RNA. RefSeq lists it as uncharacterized. The transcript has 2 exons. The record is from RefSeq and is a predicted model, not a curated record. Lineage: Eukaryota; Metazoa; Arthropoda; Insecta; Diptera; Drosophilidae.
AAUUUGUUUUUUUUUAAUGUUUUACACAUGUUAUAUUUUAUUAGUUUAAUCUAAAUUUUUAAUGAUUACUCCAAUUUUUAUAAUAGAAUAUGCAUAACGUUCAAAAAACAAAUAUAAAUAUAGUGUAUACAAUAUCAACGGCCCGGCGCCAUUAGUCAGCAGUAAUUUUGAACAAGAAUUUAAUCAGCUCUUGUUUGUAAGAUGAUAUAUAUGAGCUAUGACUGUAGCUCUACAGCCAAAACCCAAGCUAAGCAACUUGGGAUUGACAAUCCGUUUCAGUAUUUGCUCUAAUCAGCUCAAGUCAACACUGUUCGCUAAACAUGAAGUCUCUAGCAAAAAUGUUCUUAAUACUUUUGUGUUUUUUAAUCGCUGGAAUUUGGGCACAGGAUAUACCACCAAUGCCUCCAGUUGAGGAUAUAUCGGAAUACCAACCAGAUUCACCUAGAACUACAACAGAAACUACCACAACAGAAGCCUCCAUAACAAAAUCCUCCACAACUUUAUCAACACAGCCCAUCACAACUUCAACAAUACUACCAAUAUAUCUGCUUUCCAAUGUUCAACCUUCUUCUGCCGAACAUGUCAAAAACCCUUGGAUCCGAAACAAAAGUGCAGAAAAGUGUUAUCUGAAAGACCAAGAGGACUAUAAUAAGAACAGAAAUGAAGAGAGCUGGGAAAAGACGACAAGCUGUUAUCGCUGCUGCUUCAAUGACGAAAAUUGUGCCGGCGAAUGCAUUAAAAUUCACGAUAGGCCUUGCUUAUGGCAAGAUUAUGCACCUGCCGCACAUGUGCUUCAAAAAAAUAUGGUAAAAUUUAACUAAAGCUGGAAGUAAAAUACAGUCAGUUCAUUGUUUUAGCAAAAGAUUUGCAAUCCAUAUAUUUGAAAGUGAAUGUGUAAUGUUUUAUUUGAGGACGACAUAAUUUAAAACUGUAAAACUCAUUUAUUUGUUUUUAAUAUUUGCAAUUAAAAGUCUUAAAGUCGCAAAA